This 322-nucleotide ribosomal RNA is filed under the name uncultured eukaryote. Its description in RNAcentral is "partial 18S ribosomal RNA". It matches the Rfam family "Eukaryotic small subunit ribosomal RNA", at positions 1470 to 1796 of the family's 1831-position model. The record is from RNAcentral.
CCCUUAGAUGUUCUGGGCCGCACGCGUGCUACACUGAGUAAUUCAAUGGGUAAGGGAACGCUAGAGCAUUACCUAAUCUUGAAAUUUGCUCGUGAUGGGGAUCGACGGUUGCAAUUUUCCGUCGUGAACGAGGAAUACCUUGUAGGCGCAUGUCAUCAUCAUGCGCCGAAUACGUCCCUGCCCUUUGUACACACCGCCCGUCGCUCCUACCGAUUGAGUGAUCCGGUGAGGCUCUGGGACCUGGACGGAAAGAGCGUUUCGCUUGUUCUGUUUUGGAAACUUGGUCGAACCUUAUCAUUUAGAGGAAGGAGAAGUCGUAACA